RNAcentral lists this long non-coding RNA (1187 nucleotides) under Homo sapiens (human). Its description in RNAcentral is "non-protein coding CKMT2-AS1:20". Lineage: Eukaryota; Metazoa; Chordata; Mammalia; Primates; Hominidae. The record is from RNAcentral.
ACAAGCGACUCGUGGGCGUCAAUACUGGGCUGAGUUUGUGGCGCGCUUAGUGAUGGGAUGGCCCUGUGCAGGACGCCGACACGAAAAGAUGAAGAGUUCAAUCCGUGCUGUCUGAACUCACAGUGUAGCAGGCGAGAUAGACGGGAAGAUCGGUAGGGUGGGAGAUGCCGGAAAGGCUUCCCGUGAGACUGGAUAAGAAAUCAAAAAUCUGGUGAAAUUGCCGGCAAGAGGGAGUUAAGGACAUUCCAGGCAGAGGCAAGUUGGUCCUUGCUGGCUGAUCCAGCUUCCCCGUCAGCAUAUGGUGAGCAGUUCGGUGAGAGGACCACACUUCCAAUACUGGCAGUCCAGAUUCCUAAGAUGAGGACACAGCAUCCUGGGCCACUGUCACUAAUACAAAUUUGCCUCUGGAGGGACUCUACGGAAGAUAAUUCCCCUGAAAUUUGGAGAGUUGAAUUAAGCUAGGACUGAUUCUGGCUGGAAUUUGUGGUGGCUACGUACCCUAGAGGGCCUCAAGGAAACCCACGGUUCAAGACAGCCCUGACAGAUUCUGGAGUCUAGAACAGAAAUGGAUUUGAACAUGGGCAAGGCCAACCACCCAGUUCACGGCCUGUGUACAGCAAAGAUUACGUUACAGCCUGAGAGCUAAGCCUGGAAGCUCUUUCAUCCAUCCGUUUGUCCAUCUAUCCAUCCAUCUGCUCAUCCAUCCCUCCAUCUGCUCAACAAACGUUAGAGAAUCAAUCCUUGUGUCAGAUACUGGGGCUGCCCUCAAGGAGCUUUUAUAGAGUUCAGGGUACAGCCAGGUGGGGGAGACAGAUCACUAUAAAAACCUACCACUAUAAUCCAAAGGACAAGAGCAAAAAUAGUAAAGAGGAGAGAAGACCCAAAUUUGCCUGGUGGGUCAGAGAGGGCUUUCUAGAAGAGGUAAAAAAUCUUCGGGGCUAUCACUUCACCUUGCCUGGUGGAUAAAGGGAGGACUUUCCAGAUACAGUGGACAGAAUGUGCAGAGGCAGGAGCCAUGAGUGGCAGAGGCAGGGGAGGGACUGCAGAGACAGGUUGGAGCCAAAGCACGUGGCACUGGAGCCAUAGCCAAAGGAACAAACUGUGAGACCUGGGACUUGAAUUUGGAGGUGGUGAAAAGUGACAAGGUCUUCACAGAAGAGUGAUUUUUUCAACUUAGGGAAGGCUGA